RNAcentral lists this transfer RNA (75 nucleotides) under Trialeurodes vaporariorum (greenhouse whitefly). Its description in RNAcentral is "tRNA-Arg for anticodon ACG". The record is from RNAcentral. Lineage: Eukaryota; Metazoa; Arthropoda; Insecta; Hemiptera; Aleyrodidae.
GCCUCCGUGGUUCAGUGGUUAGCGCAACUGACUACGGAUCUAGAGGUACCGGGUUCGAGUCCCGGCCGUAGGGCG